Molecule: ribosomal RNA, 468 nt
Filed under: uncultured bacterium
Lineage: Bacteria
Description: partial 16S ribosomal RNA
Rfam family: Bacterial small subunit ribosomal RNA
Source: RNAcentral
GACGAACGCUGGCGGCGUGCUUAACACAUGCAAGUCGAACGGAAAGGCCCUGCUUUUGUGGGGUGCUCGAGUGGCGAACGGGUGAGUAACACGUGAGUAACCUGCCCUUUACUUUGGGAUAACUUCAGGAAACUGGGGCUAAUACCGGAUAUGAGCUCCUUCUGCAUGGUGGGGGUUGGAAAGUUUCGGCGGUUGGGGAUGGACUCGCGGCUUAUCAGCUUGUUGGUGGGGUAGUGGCUUACCAAGGCUUUGACGGGUAGCCGGCCUGAGAGGGUGACCGGCCACAUUGGGACUGAGAUGCGGCCCAGACUCAUACGGGAGGCAGAAGUGGGGAAUAUUGCAAAAUGGGCGGAAGCAUGAUGCAGCAACGCCGCGUGCGAGAUGACGGCCUUCGGGUUGUAAACCGCUUUCGCCUGUGAAGAAGAGUGAGUGACGGUAAUGGGUAAAGAAGCACCGGCUAACUACGUG